Molecule: non-coding RNA, 27 nt
Filed under: Mus musculus (house mouse)
Lineage: Eukaryota; Metazoa; Chordata; Mammalia; Rodentia; Muridae
Source: RNAcentral
UGAGGGCCAAAGAGAUGAACUUUGCUA